AUUGAACGCUGGCGGCAGGCCUAACACAUGCAAGUCGAGCGGAUGAAGGGAGCUUGCUCCUGGAUUCAGCGGCGGACGGGUGAGUAAUGCCUAGGAAUCUGCCUGGUAGUGGGGGAUAACGUCCGGAAACGGGCGCUAAUACCGCAUACGUCCUGAGGGAGAAAGUGGGGGAUCUUCGGACCUCACGCUAUCAUAUGAGCCUAGGUCGGAUUAGCUAGUUGGUGGGGUAAAGGCCUACCAAGGCGACGAUCCGUAACUGGUCUGAGAGGAUGAUCAGUCACACUGGAACUGAGAAACGGUCCAGACUCCUACGGGAGGCAGCAGUGGGGAAUAUUGGACAAUGGGCGAAAGCCUGAUCCAGCCAUGCCGCGUGUGUGAAGAAGGUCUUCGGAUUGUAAAGAACUUUAAGUUGGGAGGAAGGGCAGUAAGUUAUUACCUUGCUGUUUUGACGUUACCAACAGAAUAAGCACCGGCUAACUUCGUG
This 484-nucleotide ribosomal RNA is filed under the name uncultured bacterium. RNAcentral describes it as "partial 16S ribosomal RNA". It matches the Rfam family "Bacterial small subunit ribosomal RNA", at positions 30 to 507 of the family's 1533-position model. The record is from RNAcentral.